CCUACGGGUGGCAGCAGUAGGGAAUCUUUCACAAUGGGCGAAAGCCUGAUGGAGCAACGCCGCGUGCAGGAUGAAGGCCUUCGGGUUGUAAACUGCUUUUAUAAGCGAGAAAUAUGAUGGUAACUUAUGAAUAAGGAUCGGCUAACUACGUGCCAGCAGCCGCGGUCAUACGUAGGAUCCGAGCAUUAUCCGGAGUGACUGGGUGUAAAGAGUUGCGUAGGUGGCAUAAUAAGUAGCUAGUGAAAUCUGGUGGCUCAACCAUUCAGACUAUUAGCUAAACUGUUAAGCUCGAGACCGUUAGGGGUAACUGGAAUGUGUAGUGUAGGAGUGAAAUCCGUAGAUAUUAGAAAGAACACCAAUAGCGUAGGCAGGUUGCUGGGACGGUUCUGACACUAAGGCACGAAAGCGUAGGGAGCAAACGGGAUUAGAUACCCUUGUAGUC
This 442-nucleotide ribosomal RNA is filed under the name uncultured bacterium. RNAcentral's name for it is "partial 16S ribosomal RNA". It matches the Rfam family "Bacterial small subunit ribosomal RNA", at positions 338 to 795 of the family's 1533-position model. The record is from RNAcentral.